Small nuclear RNA from Loxodonta africana (African savanna elephant), 107 nucleotides. Lineage: Eukaryota; Metazoa; Chordata; Mammalia; Proboscidea; Elephantidae. The record is from Ensembl.
GUGCUCGCUUUGACAGCACAUAUACUACCACUGGAACGAUACAAAGAAGAUCAGCACGGCCCCUGCACAACGGUGACACACAAACUUGUGAAGUGUUCCAUAUUUUA